GAGCACGUAGGUGGGUUUGUAAGUCAGAUGUGAAAGCCUUCUGUUCAACGGAAGAAUUGCAUCUGAAACUACAAACCUUGAGUAUAGGAGGGGAGAGUGGAACUUCUGGUGGAGCGGUGAAAUGCGUAGAUAUCAGAAGGAACGCCGGCGGCGAAAGCGACUCUCUGGCCUAUAACUGACACUGAGUGUGCGAAAGCUAGGGGAGCAAACGGGAUUAGAUACCCCGGUAGUCCUAGCCGUAAACGAUGGGCACUAAGUAGAGGGGUUUU
Molecule: ribosomal RNA, 269 nt
Filed under: uncultured bacterium
Lineage: Bacteria
Description: partial 16S ribosomal RNA
Rfam family: Bacterial small subunit ribosomal RNA
Source: RNAcentral